RNAcentral lists this transfer RNA (57 nucleotides) under Neomysis awatschensis. RNAcentral describes it as "tRNA-Gly". The record is from RNAcentral. RNAcentral also lists the same sequence under 1 other name. Lineage: Eukaryota; Metazoa; Arthropoda; Malacostraca; Mysida; Mysidae.
ACUUUAUUAGUAUAAAAAGUACAACUAACUUCCAAUUAGUAAGUAAAUUAUAAAGUA